GACGAACGCUGGCGGCGUGCCUAAUACAUGCAAGUCGAGCGGACCAAACAGGAGCUUGCUCUUGUUUGGUUAGCGGCGGACGGGUGAGUAACACGUGGGUAACCUGCCCGUAAGACCGGGAUAACUCCGGGAAACCGGAGCUAAUACCGGAUAACACCGAAGACCGCAUGGUCUUUGGUUGAAAGGCGGCUUCGGCUGCCACUUACGGAUGGGCCCGCGGCGCAUUAGCUAGUUGGUGAGGUAACGGCUCACCAAGGCGACGAUGCGUAGCCGGCCUGAGAGGGUGACCGGCCCCACUGGGACUGAGACACGGCCCACACUCCUACGGGAGGCAGCAGUAGGGAAUCUUCCGCGAAGGACGAAAGUCUGACGGGGCGACGCCGCGUGAGCGAAGAAGGUCUUCGGAUCGUAAAGAUCUGUUGUUAGGGAAGAAGAAGCGCCGUUCGAACAGGGCGGCGCGGUGACGGUACCUAACGAGAAAGCCCCGGCUAACUACGUG
This 499-nucleotide ribosomal RNA is filed under the name uncultured bacterium. RNAcentral's name for it is "partial 16S ribosomal RNA". It matches the Rfam family "Bacterial small subunit ribosomal RNA", at positions 28 to 507 of the family's 1533-position model. The record is from RNAcentral.